UACAAGAAGAAAAACGCCAGAACUGGUGAAAACGAUGGGGAAGAAGUGAUGAAGGGUAGGCCAACAAAGACUGUCUGGUAUCUUACUUGCUAGAAUGUCUGGAGAAAUAUGCUGACCACGACUUUAUCCUCUUCUUCCUUAAUUUGGAAGACCAUUGGGUGACAUUACUCAUUUGUUUGCCUUGGUCCGCGGUAUACUAUUUCGAUUCACUACUUCCUCCGAAGGGUGCUUGAGGUUGCUACUGAAAACCAAUCAAAUUACUCAUUAACACUGCCUGGAAAGUUGCGACCAAGCAAACUAGUUGGCAAAGGCUAUAAAGACGAGCCUCACCACAACCACAGAUUCCCUUGCAAUCAACAGCCGCUCGGCACUGUGUACUAUGGGUACUACUGAUGUUACAUCCUUAUGGAGAAUUCCAGCAUGUUCAAACCUGGGUGGAAGGGGUUAAUCGCGGCUGUGGAAGAGUACUGGCGGCCCCGAAUGACAAUGGCGCACCGACCUAAAUGGAUCGUGUAUAACAUUCAAAGGGAGUUCGGCCAUCUCAUCAACAAUGAGGUCAUCAAGCCGAGUGGGGACUUCUACGAACGCGUGGAACAAGUGGUUAUUAGGGUUCACCCACAAUAAUAGUUUCAAACUUGACUUUGCUAUGAAAUUUUGAAACUUUGUAAUCAAUGUCGUGAAGUGAGAUACAUUUGUAUGCUUUAUAUUCUUUAAAUGUUGCGGCUUUAUA
Brachypodium distachyon (stiff brome) is the source of this 730-nucleotide long non-coding RNA. RefSeq lists it as uncharacterized. The transcript is spliced from 2 exons. Lineage: Eukaryota; Viridiplantae; Streptophyta; Magnoliopsida; Poales; Poaceae. The record is from RefSeq and is a predicted model, not a curated record.